UACGUAGGGGGCCAGCGUUGUCCGAAGUUACUGGGCGUAAAGAGCGCGUAGGCGGGUCUUUAAGUCAGGGGUGAAAUCCUGGAGCUCAACUCCAGAACUGCCUUUGAUACUGAGGAUCUUGAGUUCGGGAGAGGUGAGUGGAACUGCGAGUGUAGAGGUGAAAUUCGUAGAUAUUCGCAAGAACACCAGUGGCGAAGGCGGCUCACUGGCCCGAUACUGACGCUGAGGCACGAAAGCGUGGGGAGCAAACAGG
This 253-nucleotide ribosomal RNA is filed under the name uncultured bacterium. RNAcentral's name for it is "partial 16S ribosomal RNA". It matches the Rfam family "Bacterial small subunit ribosomal RNA", at positions 524 to 776 of the family's 1533-position model. The record is from RNAcentral.